Hamiltosporidium tvaerminnensis is the source of this 73-nucleotide non-coding RNA. The record is from the annotation of a GenBank genome assembly. Lineage: Eukaryota; Fungi; Microsporidia; Dubosqiidae.
GCGAGCGUAGCGCAGUAGGUAGCGCGUUAGUCUCAUAAUCUAAAGGUCGCGAGUUCGAAUCUCGCCGUUCGCA